GUGUCAGCCGCCGCGGUAAUACGUAGGGGGCGAGCGUUGUCCGGAAUCAUUGGGCGUAAAGCGCGUGUAGGCGGCUCGGUAAGUCUGCUGUGAAAGUCCAGGGCUCAACCCUGGAAUGCCGGUGGAUACUGUCGAGCUCGAGUCCGGAAGAGGCGAGUGGAAUUCCUGGUGUAGCGGUGAAAUGCGCAGAUAUCAGGAGGAACACCAAUGGCGAAGGCAGCUCGCUGGGACGUGACUGACGCUGAGACGCGAAAGCGUGGGGAGCAAACAGGAUUAGAAACCCUGGUAGUCC
This 292-nucleotide ribosomal RNA is filed under the name uncultured bacterium. RNAcentral's name for it is "partial 16S ribosomal RNA". It matches the Rfam family "Bacterial small subunit ribosomal RNA", at positions 505 to 796 of the family's 1533-position model. The record is from RNAcentral.